AACGAACGCUGGCGGCAUGCUUAACACAUGCAAGUCGAACGGAACGGCCCGGCUUAUGUGCGGUGGUCGGCUUGCGACGGGGUAAGUUGCCCGUGGGUAACCUGUAAUUCACUGUGGGAUAACUUCAGACCACUGAAGCUAUUCCCGGCUAGGAGCUCCUGCUGCAGGGUGGGGGUUGGUAAGUUUCGCCGGUUGGGAGUGGACUCGCGGCUUAUCAGGUUGUUGGUUGGGUAGUGGCUUACCAAGGCUUUGACGGGUAGCCGGCCUGGUAGGGUGACCGGCCACAUUGGGCUUGGGAUACGGCCCAGCCUCCUACGGGAGGCAGCAGUGGGGAAGAGUGCACAAGGGGCUGAGGCCUGACGCAGCAACGCCGCGUGCGGGAAGACGUCCUUCGGGUUGGAUUCCGCUUUCGCCUGUGACGAAGCGUUAGUGACGGUAAUGGGUAAAGAAGCACCGGCUAACUACGUG
This 468-nucleotide ribosomal RNA is filed under the name uncultured bacterium. Its description in RNAcentral is "partial 16S ribosomal RNA". It matches the Rfam family "Bacterial small subunit ribosomal RNA", at positions 28 to 507 of the family's 1533-position model. The record is from RNAcentral.